This 701-nucleotide long non-coding RNA is filed under the name Pan troglodytes (chimpanzee). Its description in RNAcentral is "long non-coding RNA NONPTRT003810". The record is from RNAcentral. Lineage: Eukaryota; Metazoa; Chordata; Mammalia; Primates; Hominidae.
CCUGCUGCUGCCUUGUGAAUCCUAGGACGGGGCCAGCUGUGGAGAAGCAGCCUGCUGACAGCCACAGACUGCAGCAUGGGCCGCCCUCACAGUUCUGCCUGGGCUCACUUAAAAGCACCUUUUGUUUUCCUCCUCUCUGUGUUUGAUCCAAACACAGAGCUCUCUGUCAUGGUCAUGUGGCAGCUCUCACGGAAUCCUUGUCUCCUGCCCUAGACUACACCUAACCCAAAAAAACAGUGCCAAGCAGCACACAUAGUAUAAGCCCCCACCAACCUUUUUUUUUUUUUUUUUUUUUUUGAGACAGAGUGUGGCUGUGCCCGGCCACUUUCUAAGCUUUGUGAAGAGCGAGUUGACUGAGCAGCCAGGUAGAUAUGGGUUCAGAUCUCUGCUUCUGUCCUGCUGUGCCAAGUGCUGGGGCAGACGCAGGCAGAGAGUGGACAGCGGCAUGGUUCCUGCUGCUAGCCAUUUCUAUGCAAAACCAGAUGUCUGGUCCCAUCCUGGAGGCCAAUUCUAGGUACGUGGGUGGGCCUGGGAACCUGUGAAACAAGUAAACUGACUUAGACACCCCCCACCCCACCAGGCCUGUCCUAGCAGCCCCACACAAAACACUCAUGUCCUGUCCCCAUACACCGCCAUCCUUAAACACAUGCUUUGUUUCCAGGCCGGGCCGGGAUCAGAUGGGAAGCGGAAGCUCAUCAUGA